CAGAAGGGAGCUUGCUCCCGGAUGUUAGCGGCGGACGGGUGAGUAACACGUGGGUAACCUGCCUGUAAGACUGGGAUAACUCCGGGAAACCGGAGCUAAUACCGGAUAGUUCCUUGAACCGCAUGGUUCAAGGAUGAAAGACGGUUUCGGCUGUCACUUACAGAUGGACCCGCGGCGCAUUAGCUAGUUGGUGGGGUAAUGGCUCACCAAGGCGACGAUGCGUAGCCGACCUGAGAGGGUGAUCGGCCACACUGGGACUGAGACACGGCCCAGACUCCUACGGGAGGCAGCAGUAGGGAAUCUUCCGCAAUGGACGAAAGUCUGACGGAGCAACGCCGCGUGAGUGAUGAAGGUUUUCGGAUCGUAAAGCUCUGUUGUUAGGGAAGAACAAGUGCGAGAGUAACUGCUCGCACCUUGACGGUACCUAACCAGAAAGCCACGGCUAACUACGUGCCAGCAGCCGCGGUAAUACGUAGGUGGCAAGCGUUGUCCGGAAUUAUUGGGCGUAAAGGGCUCGCAGGCGGUUUCUUAAGUCUGAUGUGAAAGCCCCCGGCUCAACCGGGGAGGGUCAUUGGAAACUGGGAAACUUGAGUGCAGAAGAGGAGAGUGGAAUUCCACGUGUAGCGGUGAAAUGCGUAGAGAUGUGGAGGAACACCAGUGGCGAAGGCGACUCUCUGGUCUGUAACUGACGCUGAGGAGCGAAAGCGUGGGGAGCGAACAGGAUUAGAUACCCUGGUAGUCCACGCCGUACACGAUGAGUGCUAAGUGUUAGGGGGUUUCCGCCCCUUAGUGCUGCAGCUAACGCAUUAAGCACUCCGCCUGGGGAGUACGGUCGCAAGACUGAAACUCAAAGGAAUUGACGGGGGCCCGCACAAGCGGUGGAGCAUGUGGUUUAAUUCGAAGCAACGCGAAGAACCUUACCAGGUCUUGACAUCCUCUGACAACCCUAGAGAUAGGGCUUUCCCUUCGGGGA
This 973-nucleotide ribosomal RNA is filed under the name Bacillus sp. (in: firmicutes). RNAcentral describes it as "bacterial SSU rRNA". It matches the Rfam family "Bacterial small subunit ribosomal RNA", at positions 69 to 1026 of the family's 1533-position model. Lineage: Bacteria; Bacillati; Bacillota; Bacilli; Caryophanales; Bacillaceae. The record is from RNAcentral.